UGGGGUCGCAAAGACUCGGACACGACUGAGCGACUGAAUUGAACUGAACUGAACUGUGGGCGCAAUGAAACGGUGUACUCCAGUCAGCCUCGUCAAUAAAGAUGAUACCUUGUACCUCUGGCUGCCUGAUUCAUGCAUUGACGUCUCAGUGGGUUUAGAAUGUGGAAGGGCCAAGAAGGGAGCAAUUAAUUAUCGCCCCGUAAACUCCCAACAUGUUAUUUUCUCAUCAGAACACUUCAGAGGUGGGCAGGAAAGCUGACAUGUGGGGGCUGAAAUAACACAUGGAGAUCAGAUUUCUGGUGUAGUCAGGACUUUAGGCUGAAAGGUAAUUGUAGGUCAAGUGGAUUCUUGACCUGGACAGUUACGGUUGUAGUGGGGACCUGAAUACGAGAGCCUCUGGGGCAGGCAGGCCUUGACCUAACCCCUGUGAGUAUAGCUUUGACCUCAGUGGGUGGCUGGGACAGGGAUUACGUUACUGGGAAAACAGCCUGUCUGUUCCAGGGAAGGCUUACUUUAAAGAGGACAGAGCUUUAGCUUUGCUCUCUUGGGUAGACGAUUUUUGCUUCUUGUAUUAUGUCUUUCGGCAAAGCUUCGGGCUGGAUUUUAAAUAGCAAAGGUGAUGAAAUUGUACAGAGUGAAGGGAGCUCUUGUUGGUGAGAUUGUAGCCUUUUUACAGCGUGAACCCAGGGAGUAGGUGGAAUCUGCGAAGCUGUUCUUCUAUAGGUCAUUUUGAACUUCAUUCAGGGUCAUGAGCAGAACCUGUGAAGGGAUGAAGGAACUCAUCUCUUGACUCCGUUUGGUACAUGCUGGCUUCUCAUAUGUGGCAGCUUCCAAGUGCAGAAUUCCAAAAAGCUGAAAUUGUCUUCAAUCCUCCCAACAUUGGCACAGACUAUAAGGAAUUGAGAAUGCCAAUAAUUCUAGGGAAACAGAUGGACAUUUUAAAUCACAAACAUUUACGCACAACCCAAAAGCUGCAGUUUGGGACAAAAUAUGGAAAUAGAUCUUGGCCCUUCUUUGUGUCCUUCUAUCUUAAUGAGGGAACCUGCCAAGACCAUGGGAGAAGGGAGGGAGAAAGGAUCCUUUAGGUUGAAAGAUGAAAAAAAACUGGCAGAAAUGGGUCACCUGCGAAAUGAAAAGUUUCAGUGUUUUCAAGGUUUGCAAAAUGGAUCUCAGUUGACACAGCCCUCAUUUUGACUGUGUAAGAUGUCAUAAAAUUACUUCUGAACCACCUAUAGAGUGUUUUUGUUUGAAAGGGGAUGGUGAGAUCAUUUCCCAAGCAAUACACACAAGAAUGUUAGAACUGAAGGGCACUUUAUCAAAAUUUAAUCCAACAGCCUAAAAAUUCAAAGCAGCAAAUAGGACAAUGUGAUUGACAGAUAUUAAGGAAUAGAAAAGAAAGUGGAGACCUGGAAGUCAAGAGAAGAUUUAAAAACAAGUCAUCCUGGAUUUAGAAGUCAAACUACCGCACAGUUGCACUCAUCUCACACGCUAGCAAAGUAAUGCU
This 1504-nucleotide long non-coding RNA is filed under the name Capra hircus (goat). RNAcentral describes it as "lncRNA (ENSCHIG00010027936.1)". Lineage: Eukaryota; Metazoa; Chordata; Mammalia; Artiodactyla; Bovidae. The record is from RNAcentral.